GUAAUUUUGGUGAGAAUUAUUUUAUUAAUUGGUGAGGACCCUUAUUUUACUAGGUUACUAUUGUAGUGAUUAGUUUUUACCGUUAGUGACCGUUGAUUAUAUUUUACCGUCGUUAGUAAUUACCGUUGAGUGUAUAGAAACUUUUGAAUUGUGUUAGAAUGGGUUAGGCCCAUUAUAUUUUGAGUUAAGCCCAUUAAGGGGGAUAACACUAGGGUUGUCUUAGAAUUGUAUUCAUUCUCUACAAAACAUUUUCAUAGAGAGAAGGAGAGGUAGAGAGAAAAGAGGUGAAGAGAAGAGCAAGAGGGUUGAAGGGAAGCUUUAGGAAUCAAGUGGGGUGACCUAGGAGCUGAAUUGAAGCAAGGGUUAGAGAUAAUCAACUUCAAAGGUAAGGGGGUUAGUGAUUAUUAUAAUCAUGUAAUUUUGCAUUUUCUCAUGUUGUAUGAAAAUGGGUCGAUGAACAAUUCAUGCUAGAUUCGUGCUCUUACUGUGAUGUUAUGUUUGUAUGCAUGAAUUGAUGAUAAUUGUAUGAUUGUUGGUGAAAUUACAUGUUCAAAUAUGUAAAAAUGAUAAGUUGUGAAAAUGGUGCUCAAUUGGUGAAUUUUGCUAAGUUAUUGUUAAUUUGAGAUUUGAUUCUUGCUCAAUUGAUGUUAUGGUUGUUAAUUGAUGUUUUAGUUUGUCAUACCCCAAAUUUUGACCACUUUUUUCUGUUUUUUACCCAUUCUAGUUCGUAGUGUAAAGCCAAGAAUUUUCGUUGUUUCAGACGAAAUUUCGGCGGGGAGGUAUUUUAAAAUACCUCAUAUUUGGUUCCGAAUCGGGCCCUUUUCUCUCAAUUCUCAUUUUUAUUUAGUUUCCAUCUUUUAUUAACUUUAAAUUCAUUUUUUAACCUUUAAUUUAUUUUAUUUUUAAUGUCAAAAUUUUGUCCGAUAAGAAACAGGCUGAAACAGCUCAUUCACAGCUAAGAAACAGGCUGUUAUGUUCCUCUCCAAACAACAGAAAUUCAGUUCUAUAAAUAUAACCACCUGCACACAGACAAAGGGGGCCCAACAAACAAAAGAAACAUUCCACGGCCAGAACACAAGAACAAUUUUCAUUCUUUUUCAAACCCACAAAUCAAAAUCACCAACCUCAAAUUCCAUCAACCCUCAACCCAAACCGUUUCACAACCAGCCGUCAAACACCAUCAUAAAACAUAACCCUAGCACCACAAACCAACACAAUCAAAUUCGCACAAACCUCAAACCGUCACCAUCUUUCAAGUUCAAAAACAGAUCCGGACUUUUUGUAGGUUUGUUUCAAAAAAAGAGUUUUUUUCGAAAAUAAAAGUUUAGAUCUAUGCUUUUGUGUUGUUGUUUUGAAAAUUUUGAGUUGUUAUUUGAAAAGAGGAGUAAAAAGGAUGUUUAAAAAUGUAAAAAGUUUGUGAAUCGGAGUGGUUUUGAACUCAGGCGCGGUGGUGCCACCACCGGCCACCGCGCCGGAGUCACCUCCAACCACCAUCUCUCCACCGGAGAAGAUGAAGAAUAAAGAGAGAGAAGAGAGCGUGUGGCUCUCAAAGAGAAGAAGAGAGAGGAAAAACAAUGAAAAGUGACAAGGUUGUGACCCACAACCUUUAUAUACAUGUUCACUGGAUCAACCCAUGAACCGACCCGGUUCAGUUUUCUUAAGCCCAAUUCUCUUUUCUCCUUCUCGCACCCCCUUUAUUUUCUUGCUUCCCCCCAGCAUCUAAUUUUUAUUCCUUUUUCAUGCAUUUUAAUUCUCUUUCUAUCUUAAUCCAGAGUGCUCUGGUCCUAUAUUAACUGUUAAUAUUAUAUUUAUGUUUAAUUUAAUUAUUCUCCAGAAUAAUCUGGUCCUUGUUAAUUACAUUAAUCCAGAGUGCUCUGGUCCUUGUUAAUUAAAUUAAUCCAGAGUGCUCUGGUCUUAUAUUAACUGUUAAUAUUAUAUUUUUGUUUAAUUUAAUCAUUCUUCAGAGUGCUCUGGUCCUAUGUUUUUAUUUUUUAUUGCUCUGUUAGUCUAAUUUUCAUCUACUAUGCCAAAACAACAAAAACAUUCAAAUAUCAAAAAUCACAAAAACAUUUUUAUAAUAAACCUUGAUUCUCAAAUCAAGUGGUCGUUCCUUUUAUUUUCUUUUUUAAUCAAAUCUUAAUCAAUUUUAAUUCUACUUUGAGUCUAUUAUCUUUCGAUAUAAAAAACACAAACAAAUUCUCAUUUGCCGCUUGGCUUUUUAUUUUAAAACCUCUUUCAAAACUAAUUAAAAAAUACAAAAACCAAUCAAACGUCAAUUUCUACCCCGAACUACGAGGUUUUGAUCCCUCACGGGUACGUAGGCAGAGGACCUUGUCCUUCCAAAUCAACUAAAAAAACAAUUUUCUUUUUUCUCUUCAAUAAAAAUCAAUUUUCCGUUCCUUUUCAACUCACCAUCCAAUUUUAUUUUUAUCUCUUCAAAUAAGCAAAGCAAUUUAGCACAAGAUAAAUUAGGUAAGAGGUUCCUACGGAGUACCGUAGACGCUUAGGGUGCUAACACCUUCCCUUCGCGUAACCAACCCCCGAAUCCAAAGUCUUGAGGGUUUUUACUCAUUUUUCCCUUCCCACGAAUAAAAAUCGAGAGUUCAAAGAUUGACGAUUCAAAUCAAUUAAUGGUUUGAUAUCCGAAAAUCACGAGCACAUAGUUGAUGAAUCAUUGCUUGGGUAUGCAUAUUCAUGAAUUGAUUAUGAGAAUUUGAAUUGUUGUUGGUGUUUUUUGUAAAUGGGUUGAUUUGGUGAAUUGGCUAAAAGUGAGAUUGAUUUUCAUGUUCAAUGUGUUUUUGAGUAUCCUUGUGAGUUAUAUGACCUAUAAACAUUCUUUGGAAACAUGUUUAGGCAUUGGGAGAUCAAAAUUGGGAGUUUUGGGUGAAAAAUGGGUGAAACCCGUAACUUUUGUUAUGCAGAAUUUUGAAUGGUCGCUUAAGCGACGCUAGUUGCUGUCUGAUGAAUGCACGCUUAAGCGUGCUGUAAGCGAGAUGGUAAGCGUGCAGUCACAGUAGCUACUAGAAGUUGGACGCUUAAGCGUGCUGGUGGACGCUUAAGCGUGCAGAACUUUUUCCAACACUUUUAAAACUUUGUUCCGAGCUUCCGAGGGCCAAUCCGAACUUCUUAAAACAGUUCUUUUAACUUAUAUAAUCACUGUUUGUACAAUUAAUCCUACUGGAACACUUCCUUGGACAAGAAUUGAACUUGGUUUAUGUAAUUGAAUUUCCACUUUGAAAAUUGUCAAGAACGUUGAUUGUUCCGAAAUUUGAAAUUCAAGGAAAUGGAAUGGGAGUAAAGUAGUGUAGUGAUUGUAUGAUAAAUGAAAAUGAUUGAGAUUGGUUUCCUUGAGUUUUAUUUGGUUUUGGUUUUGAAAAUGGAAGAUUCUUGUAAAAUGUUAAAGAGAGACGAACAUUGAUGAAAAUAUCCUUUUAAGCCAAUCACCUUAUAAAUCUUUCAUAUUUAGUUUUGUAUGACUAUAUGGAAGUAUUUGAUGGUUAGUUGAGUAUUGAAUGUGAUGUUUAUCUUAAGGUGAUGUAUUUUCCUCUUGACUUGAAAAGUAGGCAAAUCAUGUAUUUGAUGUGAAAUUAUGUGAAGGUGAUGAUAUUGGUGAAUCCAUAUAUAUUGUUUAUUAUGAUAUGGUGGGUGAAUAUAUAUGUUGUUGUGAAUGUGUUGAUGGUUUAAGAAAUAUUUUGGGCGGAGUUGAAUCGGAGAAAACGGGUAUUGAGCUAAAUGUGGUUUUGUCUUAGGUUUUCUCAUACAAACUUAAGCUAUCCUUUGAACUAAUUUCUAAUAGUUUGUAAGUGGCUUAUGUUCUUGACUACAUGAUUGAUUAAGAUUGAAUUGUAGGAUUUCAAACUUAAAUAAGUUGUCUAGCUUUAAAAAUUGUCAAUGUUGGCCGUUUGCCACAUGUUUUGGAUUUUUGUUGGAAAUGUUUCUUAAGCAAAUUGUCUUGUGAGUUAUUGAGAUUAUUCUUGUAUGACUAAGUGAAGUUGUAUGAAUGAAUGAUUGUAUUGAAUAUGAUGUUUAUCAUGAGAUGUGUAUGCUAUCUUACUUAGAAUGUAAGGAACGCUUGAAUGGUGAAACUAUAUGUGAUAGUUGAUGUUGAAUGGUUAUAUGUUGGAUAUGAUAUUUGUCACGAGAUGUUGUAUGUUCUUUUACUUGGGAUAUGAGAAUUGUUUGGAGUGGUGAAACUAUAUGAUAUAGUUGAUGUUGAAUGACAUUGUUGAUUAUUGAUAAUCAUGUUGAUGUGUGAUGGUGAAUACUAUGAUUUAUUUGUGUGGGCAUGUUUUCUUGAUAAUGCAAUGUUGUGGAGAUAAUCAAUAUAAUUGGGUGUCGUCCUAUAUAUUGAGUUGAGAUUGUGAAUUGUUGUCGCAUUAUCGAGUUCUUACCAUGUCCAUGCAUCAUAGUCGUUGUUGCUGUAAAAGGGAUGACUCUUUUACUUCGAGAUUAUUGUAAGGCAGAGGUGAGCCUUACAUGCGAUGUUGACUUGUCCAUCGGAGGUGACGACCUUGUUGAGAUUUGGUACCACAUGCAUUUAUGUGUCCAUAAGUGCAUAUCAUAGCAUGAGUCUUAUGUGAAGUAUGUGAUUGGUGAUGAAUUGAGAUGAAUGAUUAUUGAUGAUGUUUGUGAUUGACGAUUGUGAAUGAAUAUUUGUGAAUUGAUAAUUGUUCAUGAAAUAUGAUUAAUGAUUGUGCAUGACUUAUGAUUGGUGAUUGUUCAUGAUGUAUAUGAUCGGUGAUUGUUCAUGAUGUAUAUGAUCGGUGAUUGUGUAUGAAUAACUGUGAAUUGAUAUUUAUUUAUGAUACAAGUAAUUGGUGAUUGUUCAUGAAAUGUGAUCAAUGAUUAUUCAUGAUAAAUGUGAUUGGUGAUUGUGAUUGAAUAAUUGUAAAUUGAUAAUUGUUCAUAUGAUUGAUGAAUAUUGAUGCGAGAUAUCGGGGUUUGAUGUAAGUAUUGAUGUGGGAAUAUUAUUAUUGAUCAAGUGAAUGAUGUUUAAAUUGAAAUAUUCAUGUUAUCUGUUAUUUGGAUUAUGAUAAUGUAAUACUUACCCACACUGGAUCUGUUAUGGACCGCCUGCCUAUCUGUAUGGAUGGGUAGACGUUGUGCAGGAUUAGAUGCUUGGUGAGUUCUUGUGCUUGGUGGAUAUCUGGAGCUUUCUCCGAUAUCGGUGUUUAGAUGUUUAGUCGGCUCUGAUCUAGACUUAGUUGUGUCAGUCUAGAUUAUCUUUUACUUUGGUUUUUGUUAUGUUUGGAGAUUACCCGUUUGUUGAGAUUUUUGAGAUGCAUCUAUGUUGAUGUAAUUUAUUUAUUCUUAACAUGUAUAUUUGAAUUUACUCUGGUUUAUAUUCCGCUGCGACUGUUGAGGUUUAUAUACAUGUUUAUUGGUUUUUGAAUUUUGAAUGUGGCGUAGCCUCUAUUUCUUGAAUAAAU
This 5429-nucleotide long non-coding RNA is filed under the name Medicago truncatula (barrel medic). RNAcentral's name for it is "long non-coding RNA (MTRU_LNC003438)". Lineage: Eukaryota; Viridiplantae; Streptophyta; Magnoliopsida; Fabales; Fabaceae. The record is from RNAcentral.